RNAcentral lists this long non-coding RNA (1667 nucleotides) under Homo sapiens (human). RNAcentral describes it as "HSALNT0264547". Lineage: Eukaryota; Metazoa; Chordata; Mammalia; Primates; Hominidae. The record is from RNAcentral.
GUGAUGUGAUGCCUGAGGUUGGAGGAGGAGUGAUACAGAGGUUUGACCGAGGAGGAAAGAAUGGCAGUUCCACAUCAUGACUGUCAACUGAGCAUCUCAGCUAAGCCAUGUAACAGGUGAACUGGAAGUGUCUUUCCUGGAUGAAUGUCAGAAGGACAGCUGAACUGUGAGCCCUGGGAUGAAGUCACCUACAGCCCUAAGACCUGAAAUGCACAUCUCAGCAGAAGCCUGACUGCAGCCGUUAUCCUUGCUGUGGAGAUGAACCAAAGGCCCAAGCUUGUUCUGGAAAUGAUGCAGAAGGGCUGGACCCCGGCUAAACCCCACUCUUAAGCCUGGAACCAUGGCCCUAAGUGAAAACAGCUGACCCCAUUUUUCUGUGCAAAUGUUGCCUUUUUGGCCUGCCCCGCCCCUAUCUUGUGCCCAUAAAAGACUUCAGCUGGCAGAGCAAUACUAGCGGCUGAGCUUUGAAGAUACAAGUGGCUGAGUGUUGGAGACUACAGACAGACAAAGCUAACUUCAGAAUGUACAGCUUCGGAAAGGGGCCCAGCUGGAAAUAGCCGGGCUUCAGAGGAAGAUCACCCUCCCUUCCCCUUUCCAGUCUCCCUUUCUGCUGAGAGCCACCCACCGCUCAGUAAAGUCUUCCACAUUCAUCACCUUUCAAACAUUCCUAUGACCUGAUUCUUCCUGGAUGUCGGACAAGAACCCAGGUGCCAAGAGGGCAGGGGCUGCCACCCUGACCCUCCACUGAGCCAGUUGACACUUGGCCAUCCCUAGAUGGCAGCUGAAAGAGCUUUGGUUGUAACACACUUGGAGGCUGCCGUGAGGUCUGCACAGAGCCUGCUCCCACCAGAGAGGAGCCACUGACUGGUUCUAGCAUUCAUUCACUCUGGUUCCUGCAGUCCCUUGCUCACAUACUCCCUCCUGUGAGGAAUGGCCAGCAGCAGACUAUGAUAUGAGCCACUCCAGUUCCAGCCUGUGAAGGGGGUCAAGGGAACUAUCCCAUCUCAGUACAGUAUUAUAUAGUUACAAAUUUUCGGAGUAUCUUAACUGAGAAGAAAAUGGCAUUGUUUUCCAUACCAAUUAGAAUAAGAAAUGCUUGCAAAGAAUGACAGUAAAGGUGUGGUGGCUCAUGCCUGUAAUCCCAGCACUUUGGGAACCAAAGUGGGCAGAUCCCUUGUUGCCCAGGCUUGGCAACAUAGCAAGACCUUGUCUCUACAAAAAAUACAAAAAAAAUUAGCCAAGCAUGGUGAUGCAUGCCUAUAGUCUCAGCUACCCAGGAGGCUGAGGUCGGAAGAUCACCUGAACUCAGGAUCGGGGGUGAGUCAAGGCUGCAGUGAGUGAGCCGUGAUGACGCCGCUGUGCUCCAGCCUGGGUGACAGAGUGAGACCCUAUCUCAAAAAUAAAUAAAUAAAUAGUAUUACAUCUUAAAAGCUUUACAAAUGCUUUCAUACAAAUGUAAAUUUCUUACAGGAGAGUCCAUCUAAAGAGUACCUGUAUGUUCAUUAAAAUAAUCUAAAGAAUUUAAAAGUCGUUACCUCUAAUAAAUGAUAUCUUUGCCCUCAGUGUGUAAAAUUAUGUUUAGUUAUUUGAAUAUUUUGUUUAAAAAUACUUCUCUACCUGUUGUAGUGUAUAUAGGCUAAGUAAUUUAGUAAUAAAGCAUUGUUUUA